CUCCAUUUCCAGGAGGAAAACACGCCACGUUUCUAGCUCUCCGCGAGGCACAAUCGAUGAUGAUUAUCCGCCAUUCCGUAACCCUGGUUCCAGUGGGCAGAAUCGCUUUCCUCAAACCUGUCAAUUUUUUGGGUGUUUUUUGGCCAUUCGAAAUUCAUCACUAGGUUUCCCAAAGGUGGCCACCAGUUAGGUCACUUUAACUUUUUGCACUAAUGAUAUAGUGAUCAGAAUUUGGAGUUGCCUUUUGGAGACAAUUUAAUGUAAGAAUUGCGGGCAUUACCUAAACUAUCAGCAAUAUUGGUUGGUGAGAGUGUAAAAUAGCCUGCCUCAUUAGCAUUAACCAUUUCAUCAAUUUUUUCACAUAAACAUCGGCACAGUAUUCUAUUAUAGACAUCUUCAGGUUUUGUACGCAGAAAAUGUGACCACGUAUAGGUUAGGAGUUCAAAAAACUUAUUGAGAAAAACUAAUAUGUGUGACUGUUCAUCAACAAAAUCACUCUGUGUUGUACUGCACGAAUAUUAUAAAAGUGCAUACCAAUUACAUAGGGCUAAUAAAGCAGUGUCAUGCACCGAUAAAGUUAGACUUUUACGCGGUGGAAUCGGAAAUUAUGAGUGUUGUCCCGAUGGAGCAAGAAUUCCUGAAUGCGGUGCAAACUUGAUAGGGCCAAAAUAUUCAAAAGAAAAGAAUGAGAUAAGGUUUCUAAAAGGAAAAAAUCGUGAGUAGAUAGGUCAUUUUGGAAUGGGCGAAAGUCGAGUUUUUCCAAAUCUUCUUUCUUGGAUAAAAUUUUUUUAGGGAUAGGUAAGUUUUAGCAAGAGAGAAUAGGGAUGGAUUUUCGAAGGAAGUCCUCUAAAAUGCGUCUCAACUAUAACAUUAGAAACAUUGAAGUUUUCAAGAUUAGUGUGAAUGGAUACGCCAUGAGAAGUUCCAGAAACCUGCCAAGUCGAAGCUGCAUCUAUACUUGAUGAUUACGUAUAACGUCAGCGCAAAACUUGUAAAUGUCCGCAGACGAAGAGAAAUAACGAAUAAUGAUAAUUAUAAGAGAUGUAAUAGAAGUGAAAAAAGUGUGACAAAUAUAAUAUAAUAAAUUAAA
This is a non-coding RNA of Bemisia tabaci, 1090 nucleotides long. Lineage: Eukaryota; Metazoa; Arthropoda; Insecta; Hemiptera; Aleyrodidae. The record is from RefSeq and is a predicted model, not a curated record.